This 199-nucleotide ribosomal RNA is filed under the name Butyrivibrio fibrisolvens. RNAcentral's name for it is "16S rRNA. Bacterial SSU". It matches the Rfam family "Bacterial small subunit ribosomal RNA", at positions 1 to 179 of the family's 1533-position model. The record is from RNAcentral. Lineage: Bacteria; Bacillati; Bacillota; Clostridia; Lachnospirales; Lachnospiraceae.
UUUAAAGUGAGAGUUCGAUCCUGGCUCAGGAUGAACGCUGGCGGCGUGCCUAACACAUGCAAGUCGAACGGAGUUUAACGCUGAUGAAGCUUCGGCAGAUUCUUGUUAAACUUAGUGGCGGACGGGUGAGUAACGCGUGGGUAACCUGCCUCAUACAGGGGGAUAGCAGUUGGAAACGACUGAUAACACCGCAUAAGCG